UACAGAGGUGGCGAGCGUUGUUCGGAUUUAUUGGGCGUAAAGGGUCCGUAGGCGGUCCGGAAAGUUGGAUGUGAAAUCCCACAGCUCAACUGUGGAACUGCAUUCAAAACUACCCGGACUAGAGUGUGAGAGGGGUAAAGGGAAUUCCCGGUGUAAGGGUGAAAUCUGCAGAGAUCGGGAGGAACGACCAGUCGCGAAGGCGCUUUACUGGCUCACUACUGACGCUCAGGGACGAAAGCUAGGGGAGCAAACGGGGAUUAGAAACCCC
RNAcentral lists this ribosomal RNA (268 nucleotides) under uncultured bacterium. RNAcentral describes it as "partial 16S ribosomal RNA". It matches the Rfam family "Bacterial small subunit ribosomal RNA", at positions 524 to 788 of the family's 1533-position model. The record is from RNAcentral.